This is a non-coding RNA of Potamilus streckersoni, 77 nucleotides long. Lineage: Eukaryota; Metazoa; Mollusca; Bivalvia; Unionida; Unionidae. The record is from the annotation of a GenBank genome assembly.
GACCAUUCAGGUGGCCUAGUGGUUAGAGCGUCUUCUCCAGAUGUGGAAGAUCAUGGGUUUGAACCCCGGUCUAGUCA